This is an RNA transcript of Athene cunicularia (burrowing owl), 3563 nucleotides long. It is a transcript of the gene named potassium channel tetramerization domain containing 10, with no coding region annotated. The transcript is spliced from 9 exons. The record is from RefSeq and is a predicted model, not a curated record. NCBI's taxonomy places the organism in Eukaryota, Metazoa, Chordata, Aves, Strigiformes, Strigidae.
CGGGCGCCCGUCGGGAUGAGGCGGGGGGGCUGCGCCGCGCCGUUCAUGGAAGAGAUGUCGGGAGAAAGUGUGGUGAGCUCAGCAGUGCCGGCGGCUGCGACUCGCACGACCUCCUUCAAAGGGACGAGUCCGAGCUCCAAGUACGUCAAACUGAACAUUGGUGGUGCCCUCUACUACACCACCAUGCAGACCCUGACCAAGCAGGACACCAUGCUCAAGGCCAUGUUCAGUGGCCGAAUGGAAGUCCUGACCGACAGCGAAGGCUGGAUCCUGAUCGACCGCUGUGGAAAACAUUUUGGGACGAUACUGAACUACCUGCGGGACGGGGCUGUGCCGCUCCCCGAGAGCCGCAGGGAGAUCGAAGAGUUGUUGGCGGAAGCAAAGUACUACCUGGUGCAGGGGCUGGUGGACGAGUGCCAGGCAGCCUUGCAGCAGAACAAAGAUGCGUAUGAACCGUUCUGCAAGGUACCAGUCAUCACGUCUUCCAAAGAGGAGCAAAAACUUAUAGCCACUUCUAACAAGCCAGCAGUGAAGCUGCUAUAUAACAGAAGCAACAACAAGUAUUCCUACACCAGCAACUCCGACGACAACAUGCUGAAGAACAUCGAGCUGUUCGACAAGCUGUCCCUGCGGUUUAACGGGAGGGUGCUCUUUAUAAAAGAUGUGAUUGGAGAUGAGAUCUGCUGCUGGUCUUUUUACGGGCAGGGCCGGAAGAUUGCCGAAGUCUGCUGCACUUCCAUUGUUUAUGCUACUGAGAAAAAACAGACAAAGGUGGAGUUCCCAGAGGCCCGCAUUUACGAGGAGACACUGAACAUUCUGCUCUACGAGUCCCAGGACGGGAGGGGCCCCGACAACGCGCUCUUGGAAGCCACGGGAGGGGCAGCCGGUCGCUCCCAUCACUUGGAGGAGGACGAGGAGCGGGAGCGCAUCGAGCGCGUGCGAAGGAUUCACAUCAAACGCCCGGAUGACAGGGCCCACCUGCACCAGUGAGCCCAGGGCCAGCCCCAGACUGCGCAGCUCUGCCCGGAGGGGGCUGCCCUGCCUCUGACCCGUCCCCUGCAGCGGAGGACCAGGCGGUUUAACUUCUGUUCAGCAAAGUCUGUAAAUUACGUUUUGUAACAAACUAGAUUAUUUGGGGUAUUUAAAUGCAGUAGUUCUAGGACAAGAAUAAAUAAGGUUGCUGGGCAUGUGAUAGACACUGUAAGGACCUAUUGAGCAUCGGGAGAAAUGCCCUGAAUUUUUAGCGCUCGUCUUCGCUAUUUUGUGGCUAGAGAGGAAGAGGGCUGGCUUCCUUUGGAUUUAGUAAUUAUUCUGCACUUUAAAAACAAAACAAGAACAAACAAAGGUCGGUCAGCCGUAGCUCUUCCCUCCGGGCACUCGUGGGCCCUGUCUCCUGGGCGUGGGGGCGAGGGGGCUGGUAGCUCAGGAGUGACUCCCCAAAGGACAAAUGACACGUCUUGGCUCGAUUCCUGCAGUGCCGGGGGGCAGAGGGAGCCCUGGAGCUGCUUGGGCUCAGCUGGUUGUGGCUCCCUCCAGCUCCUCGAGGGGUUCAGUGGAGCUUCUGUGGUCCUGGGUGUUGGAGACGCACCCAGUGCAGCUCGAGGCUGGAGGAUGUUAAAUUUCUCCAAAAGCAGGGUCGGGAGCAAAUUGUAUGGAAUUGCUGUUCCUUAGGGUGGUGUUGGUACCGUUGUGUGCUUCUGCCCGACGCUGGGUCUCAGCUGGGGAGUUUAUUUCCAUGGGGUCAGUAAGUUGCACGUUCUCUACUACAGGUAGAGCGCUACUCGCUGCCGGUUCCACCGCGGCCCCGGGUCAUUCUGUAACUGAUCCAGGAGCAUCGUCUUGCUCUGAGCGAGGGCAGCGCAAGUUACGCGCGGAGGAGGAGUAGACGGGGGCCCAGCAGCAGUUACUCCUUGUUCAGCUUCAUCCUGAGCGUGUUCCAAGCCUUUUCAGAAAUGGCAGCUGCGUGUGGAAGGGCAGAGCUGAAGCGUUGUGUAGAGGAGAGCUCCGCGGUUUAGUUUUCUACGCGUACUUUUCUAUUAUGAAUAUUUUAUCUACCUCCUCGUCUCUUGUUGCCUAUUGUGGAGUCAAGUAACAGUUGCAGUGGGAGAUCGGGUGUUACUCGGUGGUAACGCCGAGCGCUGAGCCCCGGCUGUAACGGUUCAUGUAACAAACCCUGACAGGGAGAGAAACCCCAUGGAGCAAGUCUUAAACUCGCGCUCGGGCCGGCACCAUGGCAGGGCCCAGAGGACUGUGGCCUAGUCUGGAGCUUUUUUUUGGCCCUUCAUCUGGGCUGUGUAGCGCUGGCCUUGGGGCCAGGCCUCCCGUCCAGAGCAGCAGCUCCGUGUGCCUGUUCCUCAGCGAGGUGGGUGUUUGUUUUUGCCCAGCCGCCCGCUGCGAGGACUCCGACUCCUGCCUCAGGGCUGUUCACCUGAACAGUUUAAAAACCAAAGGUGUUGCCAACAUCACCAGCUCCGUUGUUACUCCAACGCUUCUUUUUCGCGCAGCAGUUACACCCCAGACGAUGUUUAGCUUGUCUGUAGACACUAAAAUAAAGCAUAAAGUGCUCAGUGGUACAAUUGUGGAUCAUCAAGUAAAGCUGUAAUGAUUUCAAAGUUAGGCUGAGGUCAUCUUUCUAGUAGCCAAAGACUUUUUUGAGUUACAGGCAGCUGCUGUGUGUGACAGAUGGGGUGGUGGUACCCAUCUCCUCUACUCUUUCUUCUUCAGCUACUAAGAGCUCAACAGUGAACCCUUACCCUGUAGUUCAGCAGCUUCAGCGACGUCCUGACGGUUCCGGGCUUGUAGUUUAAGCUGCCUUUCCACGCGCUCGCAACACGCUCCGGGUUUGUGAAGUCCAGAGUGCAGGUUGCUGCGGUGAAGGACCCGGCGCCUCUCCCUCCCCGUCCUUCCGUGCUAACCAGGGAGCAGCAGGAAAAGCCUCCGUGCGCUCCAGUCCUCUGGACUUUGACCUUUUCCGGGCACGUUUUGGGGCUGGUUGUGGCAUUCUGAGCCCUCGGAGGGGUCUGGGCUGUGCAGGUGCAGCUUCCCAGGGCUGGAGGUGAAGGUUUUUCCAAGCCAGCCCUUCCCUCAUUUAUGGUUUUGCUUCCACUGCACUGUGUGCAGGGAAAACCAGGACAGCGUUAUGCUAAAAGCAAAGAUCUUUCCCCCUGACAGAAUCAACGAGCAGCUUUCUGUGUCACAAGAGCCCCAGCCCUACUGCACAUUUAGCCAUCCCUCCCCUUGCCGAAGGAUGAGCUUUGCCCGUCUGCCUGAGAGAAAAGGUGUUUUCAGGCCUGGUCUGUGCUUGAGGCAGUUCUGGGGAGCUGUGACUCAAGGUACAGCUGGAGAAACCAUUUUUUGGGUCUAUCUUAAUCCUUCCUGACUGGUCAGAGCUCCCGGCUUUACCGAGCACACGGAGACAGACAUUUUAGGUGUGGAACUGCAACUUUGGGUUUAAACAUUUCCCUGUGACAGUGUAAUGAGCAUCUGUGCUCACUGGAAUGUUACAGCAUCAUAAUGGAAUUUAUUUAGCUAUAGUCGAAUAGUUUUAAACUAUUAAAAAAAAA